CCUUUUUUUCCAUCUUCUCAUUCGAACAAACAGCGACACAGUGAGCAAGAAUGUGGAGAAGAGCUUUCUGUAAUCUCUCAAAAAGACCGUUUUCUUCACAAUCUGAAAUACCCACUUUGUAUUCCUUUCUCCAGCCUUCAAUUUUCUCCUUAAAAAGAUAUGAAUCACCUUCUACAACCCCACCAAAACCCCAUGACCAAACCCCUCUAACCUUAACACAAGAACACAAAUCUAAUCUUGAAUCCACUCUUCAAGAUUCAAUCAAAAGUAACAACACAGAUGAAGCAUGGAAAUCAUUCAAGACUCUUUCAAAUUACUCUGCUUUCCCAAGUAAGUCACUUACCAAUUCAGUAAUCACUCAUUUGUCAUCAUUGAAUGAUACCCAUAACAUAAAAAGAGCAUUUGCAUCAGUAGUUUUCUUGUUAGAGAAGAAACAAGAAUUGUUAAAGCCUGAAACUGUACAUGUACUGUUGAAUUCAAUGAGGGAAGCUAAUAGUGCUGCCCCUGCUUUUGCAUUGGUGAAGUGUAUGUUCAAGAACAGAUUUUUCAUCCCUUUUAGUCUGUGGGGUGAUGUUCUUGUGGAGAUUUGUAGGAAAAAUGGCAACUUUGGUGGGUUUUUACAAGUUUUUAAUGAGAAUUGUAGGGUUGCUAUUGAUGAGAAGUUGAAUUUCUUGAAACCCAGUUUGGCAGCUUGUAAUGCUGCACUAGAAUGUUGUUGUCGAGAGGUUGAAUCGAUUACUGAUGCAGAGAAAGUGGUGGAAACCAUGUCAGUUUUGGGUGUUAGGCCUGAUGAAUGUAGUUUUGGUUUACUAGCUUAUUUGUAUGCAUUGAAGGGUCUUAAAGAGAAAAUAGCUGAGUUAGAAGGUUUAAUAAGUGGAUUUGGUUUCCCGGAUAAAGGGGUUUUUCUUAGUAACUUGAUUAGCGGAUUUGUAAAGUGUGGUAAUUUGGCGUCUGUUUCAGCAACUAUUCUUCAAGGUGUAAGAGAAACGGAUGGACAAGGAUUUUGUUUUCAAAAAGUAACUUAUAGUGAAGUAGUAAGUGGGUUUCUUCAAAAUGGGAGCAUAAAAGAUUUAGCUGCGUUGAUUGGUGAAACUCAGACCUUGGAAUCUCCAUCUGUGAUUGUUGAGAGAUCCGUUGGAUAUGGCAUCAUAAAUGCUUGCGUUAAUCUUGGGUUAUUGGACAAGGCACACAUGAUAUUUGAUGAAAUGAAUGCUCAGGGUGCUUCUUUAGGUCUUGGAGUCUACCUUCCAAUACUGAAAGCAUAUUGCAAAGAGCAAAGAACUGCUGAAGCAGCUCAACUGGUGACAGACAUAAGCGGUUUAGGUCUCCAGUUGGAUGUUGCUACCUAUGAUGCUCUAAUUGAAGCUUCAAUGUCAUGUCAAGAUUUUCAAUCUGCAUUUUCUGUGUUUAGGGACAUGAGAGAAGCAAGAAUACCUGACUUGCAAGGGAGUUACUUGACAAUCAUGACCGGUUUAACAGAAAGUCAUCGACCUGAGCUCAUGUCAGCUUUCUUGGAUGAGAUCGUUGAGGAUCCUAGAAUUGAAAUCGGAACGCAUGAUUGGAAUUCCAUCAUCCAUGCCUUCUGCAAGGCUGGACGGCUAGAAGAUGCAAGGAGGACUUUCAGGAGAAUGACCUUCCUUCAGUUCGAACCAAAUGAGCAGACAUAUCUUUCUCUAAUAAAUGGAAAUAUGACCGUGGAGAAGUAUUUCAAUGUUAUGAUGCUGUGGAAUGAAGUCAAAAGAAAGGUUUCUGCAGAAGGGGAAACAAAGUUAAAACUAGAUAGUAGCCUGGUUGAUGCGUUUCUGUAUGCAUUGGUUAAAGGGGGCUUCUUUGAUGCAGUAAUGCAAGUCGUGGAGAAAUCUCAAGAGAGGAAAAUUUUUGUUGAUAAAUGGAGAUAUAAACAAGCAUUCAUGGAGAAACAUAAGAAGCUCAGAGUUUCAAAGUUAAGAAGGAAAAAUCGCGGUAAAAUGGAGGCACUUAUUGCUUUCAAAAAUUGGGCGGGUUUGAGUGCUUGAUGGAUCUCAUAUCUGUCGCUUGCCUAUUUUGCUUGAUCUGAAUGCUGUAUGAAGCAUCUUGCUACUGGGUCCUAAAAUACUCAAUUUAACAUCAAAGGUUUUAGGCUUUUGAUGCUGGCACAACAAGUGCCAAAUUGUUUUUCAGGAAGCUCUCCCGGUAAGUAUAAGCUGCAGAGCCUCUAUCAUGUGAAACAGAUUGAAGAUGUAUUAUGCUUGCUAAACCAUAUGGAAAAGUGUGAUUGUAACUUCCAAGAAGCAGGAUUAUGCUCUGAGUAAAACACCAGUCUCCUUGAGCUAAAUGCUGCAGAAGCACUCCAAAGACCACUAUUCCUAUCUGGCUAUAGUCUGCGUACUCUAGAAGGUUCUAUAUCAUGAAACCUUUCUUCUUAUUUGUAACACACUUGUAUAAGAUUUUUCUUUUAGCAGGAGAAAUUGGCAUUGUGAGACCAGAAGCAGUGAAAGAAAGUACCCCGGUGCUUGUAGAAAAACUCAACAAAUGAUUUAAUAUACCUACAAAUGCAUAACAUCCUUGGUUGGCCACUCCUUUUGAUGAUGUUACUGGCCAAAAUGUGUAUGGUAGAGUAUUUUGUUGUUCAACUCUUGAAUAGGUGACAAGGAGCAUAUUUUGCCUGUACAAAUUUGGCAUACUCUGGGAAUUUGUAGAAGCAGUGUCUCAGCCUAUUAUUGCUAUUUGUCUUGUGAGUGAGUUUGAGUUUAGGAGUACAAAAAGUUGAACAGAAUCAGCAAGUUUAUUGGAAGAAGGAUGAGUGUGCUGAACUCUACAGAAUACAACUUGCUACUGCUCUUCUUAUAUCUAUUUUCUUCUGGAUGAGUUGUGUACUUUAGAUUUUAGAGAUGUCUAAGAGUAGUGUGUUAUUCUGUUAGCAUUGCAUUACAAUCUUGAAAACCAGUUUUUUUAUGCAGCAUAUAUAUUGUUGUAGUGAGCCAAGGGUGUAUCGGAAUUCGGAGAGGUAAGGUUUGCGUACAUCCUACCCUCCGCAGACCUUACUUGUGAGAUUACACUAGAUAUGUUGGUGUUUAUAUAUAUUGUUGUAGUCCAAUAGUAUAAUUCUACAUUAGUAUCCAAAUGCAGUCACUAAAUCCACAUUCAGAGGUGUUGACACAAAUCUUGAUUUUAUUUUGAUAAGAGUCCAUAUAUACUUAUACUUACUGUAUAUAGAAAGAACACAAAUUUCAAUUUCCUAUGGAGAAUUUCUUUUAAAUUAUUAUCUAGUUAUUUCCCAAGAGUUUUUGUUUUGUCCUUCUCACAAGAAUUUUUUGCUCCAGUGCAAGAAUGAGUACACACAUGUGAUACUGCAGGGCAGAGACACUAAUGAUGACACCCAAAUAGACUCCAGUUGGGUUGUCAGAUUCUCCCACUUGUUUCC
Solanum tuberosum (potato) is the source of this 3403-nucleotide RNA transcript. It is a transcript of the gene named pentatricopeptide repeat-containing protein At1g69290, with no coding region annotated. The transcript has 2 exons. The record is from RefSeq and is a predicted model, not a curated record. NCBI's taxonomy places the organism in Eukaryota, Viridiplantae, Streptophyta, Magnoliopsida, Solanales, Solanaceae.